Telopea speciosissima is the source of this 291-nucleotide long non-coding RNA. RefSeq lists it as uncharacterized. The record is from RefSeq and is a predicted model, not a curated record. The transcript has 2 exons. NCBI's taxonomy places the organism in Eukaryota, Viridiplantae, Streptophyta, Magnoliopsida, Proteales, Proteaceae.
UCUUCCACCCACCUUGUUCAAUAAUCAAUCCAGGCUUCAGGCAAUAACAUCCGGGUAGAAGAUGAGCAGGACAAGAUUGUCAAUGAGUGUUGUUCUUGCUGUUUCGACUGCACGGAGGGCUGCUUUGAAUUCUUAUGCUGCUCCAACCUUUGUUAGGUUUACUGUAACUCUCUUCUUUUUGUUUUGUCAGUGUCUGGGUAUUUGAUUCGGGAGAAGAUAGCUUGGGCGCAUACUCUGGGGAAUCGAAAUUAAAGCAAAUUCAAGGAUAUGAUGUGAUUAAACACUUGACAA